UAAUGUAUGGGGAUCUGCCCGAUAGAGGGGGAUAACUACUGGAAACGGUGGCUAAUACCGCAUAAUGUCUACGGACCAAAGCAGGGGCUCUUCGGACCUUGCACUAUCGGAUGAACCCAUAUGGGAUUAGCUAGUAGGUGGGGUAAAGGCUCACCUAGGCGACGAUCUCUAGCUGGCUGAGAGGAUGAUCAGCCACACUGGGACUGAGACACGGCCCAG
Molecule: ribosomal RNA, 219 nt
Filed under: uncultured bacterium
Lineage: Bacteria
Description: partial 16S ribosomal RNA
Rfam family: Bacterial small subunit ribosomal RNA
Source: RNAcentral